AUACGGAGGGUGCGAGCGUUAAUCGGAAUUACUGGGCGUAAAGCGUACGUAGGCGGUUGGUUAAGUUAGAUGUGAAAGCCCCGGGCUUAACCUGGGAACUGCAUUUAAAACUGGCGAACUAGAGUUGAGUAGAGGGGAGUGGAAUUUCAGGUGUAGCGGUGAAAUGCGUAGAGAUCUGAAGGAACACCAGUGGCGAAGGCGACUCCCUGGACUCGAACUGACGCUGAGGUACGAAAGCGUGGGUAGCAAACGGGAUUAGAAACCCGGGUAGUCC
Molecule: ribosomal RNA, 274 nt
Filed under: uncultured bacterium
Lineage: Bacteria
Description: partial 16S ribosomal RNA
Rfam family: Bacterial small subunit ribosomal RNA
Source: RNAcentral